GAAAGACCUGGCUGACAUGUUCCAGAGACUGGAGAAUUCCUUCAGCGAAAAAUUACAAGCUGUAAAUGCAGACAUCCAGCAACUGGGAACCAGGGUACAGGCCCUAGAGGAUGCGGAGGAGCUCUCUGAAAGACAGUGGUCGGAGUGCCACACUACACAGAAGCUUCAUUCAGAAGCUUUAAUACAUCUGCAACGGAAACUGGACGAUGUGGAUAACCGGGGAAGGCGCAACAACUUGCGGGUAGGAAGAGUACCAGAAAGCCAGGAAGGCUCUACGGAAAACCCCAUACAGGUACUAACUACCCUCUUUAACC
This is a non-coding RNA of Pelobates cultripes (western spadefoot toad), 314 nucleotides long. The record is from the annotation of a GenBank genome assembly. NCBI's taxonomy places the organism in Eukaryota, Metazoa, Chordata, Amphibia, Anura, Pelobatidae.